GUACGAGGGGUGCAAGCGUUAAUCGGAAUUACGGGGCGUAAAGCGUUCGUAGGCGGUUUGUUAAGCAAGAUGUGAAAGCCCUGGGCUCAACCUGGGAACUGCAUUUUGAACUGGCAAGCUAGAAUACUGUAGAGGGUGGUGGAAUUUCCAGUGUAGCGGUGAAAUGCGUAGAGAUUGGAAGGAACAUCAGUGGCGAAGGCGGCCACCUGGACAGAUAUUGACGCUGAGGAACGAAAGCGUGGGGAGCGAACAGGAUUAGAUACCCCGGUAGUCC
Molecule: ribosomal RNA, 274 nt
Filed under: uncultured bacterium
Lineage: Bacteria
Description: partial 16S ribosomal RNA
Rfam family: Bacterial small subunit ribosomal RNA
Source: RNAcentral